UACGUAGGCAGCAAGCGUUGUCCGGAAUUACUGGGCGUAAAGAGCUCGUAGGUGGUUUGUCGCGUUGUCCGUGAAAUUCCCUGGCUUAACUGGGGGCGUGCGGGCGAUACGGGGCAGACUGGAGUACUGCAGGGGAGACUGGAAUUCCGGGUGUAGCGGUGGAAUGCGUAGAGAUCCGGAAGACACCGGUGGCGAAGGCGGCCUGCUGGGCAGUUGCUGACACUGAGGCGCGACAGCGUGGGGGA
Molecule: ribosomal RNA, 245 nt
Filed under: uncultured bacterium
Lineage: Bacteria
Description: partial 16S ribosomal RNA
Rfam family: Bacterial small subunit ribosomal RNA
Source: RNAcentral